UGGUGGCGCACGCCUGUAAUCCCAGCACUUGGGAGGCUGAAGCAGGAGGAUCGUUGAGAGUUCGAGACCAGCCUGGGCUACAAAGUGAGCUCAAGGCCAGUCUGAACUGCAUAUCGAGACCCUGUCUCAAAAAGACCAAAAAAAAAAAAGAAAAGAAAAGAAAAAAAAAAAAGAAAAACCUCGUCUCAAAAUAAAUUUACAAAUUGGCUUGCUUUUAGGGUCCCUGUUGUAUGACCAGCGCUUGCAGCAGGCCAAGUACUCAGGACAGACUUGGCCUUCGCAGAGCGCACUGUCUGACCCGACCGAAAUUAAAGGUGCCAGUAGCGCAGCUCCCUGGUGGCUGCAGCAGGGCAGCGCGUGAAAGCCGUGGUGACGGUAGCCCUCAGACCGCCUCCGCCAGUCCUGUUCCAAGCUCGGCUCCUGCGCUGACCGGGCCCAGCCCUGCCUGCCUCCGCUGUUUCUGCCUCAUUUAGCUGUCGGUCAUGGAAGGACCUCCGCAGCGGCUCCCUGCUGAGGGAAGCGCAGAGGCCCCAGCCCCUAGCGACGGGAGAAGGCGGGGGCAGGAGUAGCCUGGGGAGAGGAGAGCGGGGAGCCAGGAGGGCGCUCUGGGUGAGAGGGAAACGGAAGAGGGGUCGGCGCAGAGGGGAGAGGCGCGUAGGGGCAGGGUCAGUGAGAGCGGUUCUGGGCGGGAAGGGAGAGUCCUGGGAAAGUGGGGUGAG
RNAcentral lists this long non-coding RNA (719 nucleotides) under Chinchilla lanigera (long-tailed chinchilla). Its description in RNAcentral is "lncRNA (ENSCLAG00000027684.1)". The record is from RNAcentral. Lineage: Eukaryota; Metazoa; Chordata; Mammalia; Rodentia; Chinchillidae.